GACGAACGCUGGCGGCGUGCUUAACACAUGCAAGUCGAACGGAAAGGCCCUGCUUUUGUGGGGUGCUCGAGUGGCGAACGGGUGAGUAACACGUGAGUAACCUGCCCUUGACUUUGGGAUAACUUCAUGAAACUGGGGCUAAUACCGGAUAGGAGCUCCUGCUGCAUGGUGGGGGUUGGAAAGUUUCGGCGGUUGGGGAUGGACUCGCGGCUUAUCAGCUUGUUGGUGGGGUAGUGGCAUACCAAGGCUUUGACGGGUAGCCGGCCUGGGAGGGUGACCGGCCACAAUGGGACUGAGAUACGGCGCAGACGGCAACGGGGGGCAGCAGUGGGGAGUAUUGCACAAUGGGCGGGAGCCUGAUGCAGCAACGCCGGGUGCGGGAUGACGGCCUUCGGGUUGUAAACCGCUUUCGCCUGUGACGAAGCGUGAGUGACGGUAAUGGGUAAAGAAGCACCGGCUAACUACGUG
This 468-nucleotide ribosomal RNA is filed under the name uncultured bacterium. RNAcentral's name for it is "partial 16S ribosomal RNA". It matches the Rfam family "Bacterial small subunit ribosomal RNA", at positions 28 to 507 of the family's 1533-position model. The record is from RNAcentral.